Molecule: ribosomal RNA, 462 nt
Filed under: uncultured bacterium
Lineage: Bacteria
Description: partial 16S ribosomal RNA
Rfam family: Bacterial small subunit ribosomal RNA
Source: RNAcentral
GAUAAACGCUGGCGGCGUGCUUAACACAUGCAAGUCGAACGAAGUUUUUCCUUCGGGAGAAACUUAGUGGCGGACGGGUGAGUAACGCGUGGGUAACCUGCCCUGUACAGGGGGACAACAGCUGUAAACGGCUGCUAAUACCGCAUAAGCCCUUAGCACUGCAUGGUGCAUAGGGAAAAGGAGCAAUCCGGUACAGGAUGGACCCGCGUCUGAUUAGCCAGUUGGCAGGGUAACGGCCUACCAAAGCGACGAUCAGUAGCCGAUCUGAGAGGAUGUACGGCCACAUUGGGACUGAGACACGGCCCAGACUCCUACGGGAGGCAGCAGUGGGGAAUAUUGCACAAUGGAGGAAACUCUGAUGCAGCGACGCCGCGUGAGUGAAGAAGUAUUUCGGUAUGUAAAGCUCUAUCAGCGGGGAAGAAAAUGACGGUACCUGACUAAGAAGCACCGGCUAAAUACGUG